This 468-nucleotide ribosomal RNA is filed under the name uncultured bacterium. RNAcentral's name for it is "partial 16S ribosomal RNA". It matches the Rfam family "Bacterial small subunit ribosomal RNA", at positions 28 to 507 of the family's 1533-position model. The record is from RNAcentral.
GACGAACGCUGGCGGCGUGCUUAACACAUGCAAGUCGAACGGAAAGACCCUGCUUUUGUGGGGUGCUCGAGUGGCGAACGGGUGAGUAACACGUGAGUAACCUGCCCUUGACUUUGGGAUAACUUCAGGAAACUGGGGCUAAUACCGGAUAGGAGCUCCUGCUGCAUGGUGGGGGUUGGAAAGUUUCGGCGGUUGGGGAUGGACUCGCGGCUUAUCAGCUUGUUGGUGGGGUAGUGGCUUAUCAAGGCUUUGACGGGUAGCCGGCCUGAGAGGGUGACCGGCCACAUUGGGACUGAGAUACGGCCCAGACUCCUACGGGAGGCAGCAGUGGGGAAUAUUGCACAAUGGGCGGAAGCCUGAUGCAGCAACGCCGCGUGCGGGAUGACGGCCUUCGGGUUGUAAACCGCUUUCGCCUGUGACGAAGCGUGAGUGACGGUAAUGGGUAAAGAAGCACCGGCUAACUACGUG